This 873-nucleotide small RNA is filed under the name Pongo abelii (Sumatran orangutan). Its description in RNAcentral is "processed transcript". The record is from RNAcentral. Lineage: Eukaryota; Metazoa; Chordata; Mammalia; Primates; Hominidae.
UCUGCCGGUGCUGCUGCGCCCCGCGGAGCUCCGAACACGUGCGCAGAGGCCGGCUGUGGCAGAUGCAACUGCAGGAUGACUUGAAAGUAGGGCAUCCUUCACCCAUCUGAAGGGAGGAAAUAGUGGCAGGUGACAGUCUGCAUGUGCAGUUUUCAGAUGCCUUCACCUGAAUGACAUCUACCUCCAUCAGGACCCCAGAUGUCUGAUAGCCCUGUGUGACACCAAGAUAAGUAAUAAUCUGUUUGGCUGCUGACUACCCUAUUGGACAACUCCAAUAUUAGAGAACAUUUCCACCAAUUCAGAAAGUUUAUUAUGCACUGCUGUUCUAGAGCAGGGAUCAGCAAACUUGCUGUAAAGAGCCAGGAUCCCGUUGAAGAUACCACAUUACACUUAGGCUCCUGUUGGCCAUGACAGCUUCUUAGACUUGUUUUUAAUGACCUUGACAGUUUUGUUUUUUUGUUUGUUUGUUUUUAUUUGAGAUGGAAUCUCUGUCAUCCAGGCUGGAGUGCAAUGUAAUGGCUCAAUCUCAGCUCACUGCAACCUCUGCCUCCCGGGUUCAAAUGAUUCUCCUGCCUCAGCCUCCCCAGUAGCUGGGAUUACAGUCACGAGCCACCGCGCCCAGCCGCCUCCUAAAUUCUUAAAACAUUCCAUUUUUAUUCUGUGGUCUUAGUUUAUUCUGUCAUGUAGAGAAUAGUGGUUGAGCCUGUUGUCUUUUGAGAGUGGAUGCUGUAGUCCUUACAUGGCUGAUUUUCACCCCGUAAGCUUAUAGUAGAGGAUGGGGAUUUUGUUAUCAGCUGCUAAAAGGGAGAAGCCAAGCCCAGAACUAAGGGUUCUGAUGAGUUGAAGGAGAGGGAAGAUGCCCCUCAAGGCAAA